This 525-nucleotide long non-coding RNA is filed under the name Marmota monax (woodchuck). Lineage: Eukaryota; Metazoa; Chordata; Mammalia; Rodentia; Sciuridae. The record is from RNAcentral.
CAUGUCGGAUCAGGAGGCAAAAAUUCAACUGAGGAUUUGGGGGAUAAGAAAGAAGGAGAAUGAAUUAAAUACAAAGUAAUUGGACAGGAUAGCAGUGAGAUUCACUUCAAAGUGAAAAAUGACAACACAUCUCAAGAAACUCAAAGAAUCACACUGUCAAAGACAGGGAGUUCCAAUGAAUUCACUCGGGUUUCUAUUUGAAGGUCAGAGAAUUGCUGAUAAUCAUACUCCAAAAGAACUGGAAAUGGAGGAAGAAGAUGUGAUUGAAGUUUAUCAGGAACAAACCAUUCAACGGUUUAGAUAUUCUUUUAUUUUUUUAUUUUCCCUUAAUCAUUUUUUAUUAAAAAAAAUAGUUCUUUUGUAAUAUGGUGUUCAAAUGGAAUUGAAAACUGGCACCCAUCUCUUUAAAACAUCUGGUAAUUUGAAUUCUAGCGCUCAUUAUUCAUUAUUGUUUGUUUUCAUUGUGCUGAGUUUUUGGUGAUCAAACCUUAGCUCCCUUCAUAUUGACCUCUCCUUUUAAAAAAU